AUUUACGAAGUUUAAUAAAAAUAUUGACUUGUGGCGUCAAAGAUGUGAGUAUCACCGUAAAUA
This 63-nucleotide transfer RNA is filed under the name Lovenula raynerae. RNAcentral's name for it is "tRNA-Val". The record is from RNAcentral. Lineage: Eukaryota; Metazoa; Arthropoda; Copepoda; Calanoida; Diaptomidae.